GAUGAACGCUGGCGGCGUGCCUAAUACAUGCAAGUCGAGCGAACAGAUGGGGAGCUUGCUCCUCUGACGUUAGCGGCGGACGGGUGAGUAACACGUGGAUAACCUACCUAUAAGACUGGGAUAACUUCGGGAAACCGGAGCUAAUACCGGAUAAUAUAUUGAACCGCAUGGUUCAAUAGUGAAAGACGGUUUUGCUGUCACUUAUAGAUGGAUCCGCGCCGCAUUAGCUAGUUGGUAAGGUAACGGCUUACCAAGGCAACGAUGCGUAGCCGACCUGAGAGGGUGAUCGGCCACACUGGAACUGAGACACGGUCCAGACUCCUACGGGAGGCAGCAGUAGGGAAUCUUCCGCAAUGGGCGAAAGCCUGACGGAGCAACGCCGCGUGAGUGAUGAAGGUCUUUGGAUCGUAAAACUCUGUUAUUAGGGAAGAACAAAUGUGUAAGUAACUAUGCACGUCUUGACGGUACCUAAUCAGAAAGCCACGGCUAACUACGUG
RNAcentral lists this ribosomal RNA (497 nucleotides) under uncultured bacterium. RNAcentral's name for it is "partial 16S ribosomal RNA". It matches the Rfam family "Bacterial small subunit ribosomal RNA", at positions 28 to 507 of the family's 1533-position model. The record is from RNAcentral.